GGGUGAUUAACAGGGGAAGAAUUAGGAAAGAGGACACGCAAGACCACAGUAAGAGAUGGAAAUAAGAGAAGGCACAUUUCUUUGUAAAGAAAAGGCCUCCUUAGAAUCAUAUUGGCUUUGUCUCGGGGAGCAGGAGAAGUUGGGGUGUCACCAUUUCCACUCAUCAGGAUUUGCCCUUUCCAUCAUUGAAAUCUUUGGUGUUGAACAAUUGUGUUAGUUCAUGGAGCAUAAAGAGCUUCACUUUGAAGUGCAUUCCAGGAAUAUUCCUGAUUUCCAUUGGAUGACUUUGACUGGUAUGAUUUCCUUCUCUGAAAGUGUAAACCAGGGUUCAGCAUGGCCAGAAACCAUUCUGAGCCUCAUGAAGUGGGCAAGUCAGGUUUGGUCAUUUUUGAUAGGACCUUGACUUCCAAAUUAAUAUUUGCCUUGUAAGACUCAGAAACAGCUCCAUCAGGGGAGACCGAGGG
RNAcentral lists this long non-coding RNA (464 nucleotides) under Gorilla gorilla gorilla (western lowland gorilla). RNAcentral describes it as "lncRNA (ENSGGOG00000044461.1)". Lineage: Eukaryota; Metazoa; Chordata; Mammalia; Primates; Hominidae. The record is from RNAcentral.